AGUCUUAAUUUACCCGCUUAAAAAUACAUAAAAAUGCUUAAUCUAUCAUGGUCGUUUCGACUGCUCCCCCCUCCCUUCUCAUGCAAUGGACUAUUCCAUGUUACUGCGCAUGUGCAGUCUUGGUUCAGGAAGACGUUAGCAAAACAAACUUUGGCGCGGUUUUGAGCUGAGAAAACUGAAGCGGAGUUACGCUAGUGGAGCGGAGAAGAGGAGAAGAGGAGAAGGAGAGAGGACAGCAAACUGUUUUUUAUCAAAACUACCAAAAGAGUCAACUUUGUUUCCCAGUGACACUGAAUGUAGCCGCAGGUCCCCGACAACAGCAAGAGCCAGAAGCUGCUGUCAGUAGCACCGCUGUCAGUGUCAGCCGAGGAGGAGAUGAAGCGGAGAGAGACACAGGGACGCUUUUCAUCACAAACAUGAGAUGGAGUCACUGUGGUGAAAGAAGGAGACCCUGACUACUGACAAGGGUCUUUGCUCCAUGCAGCCACAUGAUCUUGGGCUCAGGACGGCCGAUGUAGACGGCAUGGAUGCGCAGAGUGGUCCCCAGGCCGGCAUAGUAUGUUUCCUUCAGUGGGUAGUCUGGAUGGAAGGAUGGAGCAGCCUCCAACACCAGGACACCUGUGGUUUCAGCCUCUCCAGCAUCGUUGAUGGCCUUGCAGGUACUCUCGAAGGACUUCCUGUACUCUACCCAGUAGCCCAGGACCUCUUUUCCACCGUCACACUCUGGAGCUUGCCAGCGGAUGGUAAUGAAGUUGUUUGACACGUUUACUGUGUCAAUCUCGCCUGGUUGGCUUGGCUUGUCUGUGAAGGAAGACACAAAAAUCUUGUUAUAACAGCAGGAGGUCGUACAUGCCAGAGUCACUCCUCUCAGCUUCCUUGAUCACCAGCUCGCUGGCAUCCUCAUUGGAGGCAAUCAUGGCUUUAUCGGAGACUUCACCACCAUCCUUCAGCCACUUGCAGGAGGACUCCAAGCAAGUGAGACAGAGGAUUUGGUGGUAUCAAUGAUCCUUGGAUUCUGAGGACAGCCAGGUGGAUCUGAGUGGAGAAGGUAGUGGAUCAACGGGCUACCACCAUCACUCUCUGGCUUCAGCCAUUCAAUGGUGGCAAAGUCCUUUCCUGAUGCCAGGAUCUCGGGAGCACCAGGAGGCGUGGGCACAGCUGGAGGAUAGAAAGGUCUUUCGCGCUGUACUGCAUGUUUUUGGACCUCAUCAGCUCCUUGUACUUGUCGUCACCAUUGAGAACCUCCAGAACAUAGCAGAUGAUGCGACUGCCACCAUCAGUAAGGGGUUUCUUCCAGCUUAGAGUGCAAGAGUCCUUGGUAACCAGGAGGGUCUUGAAGUCCAUAACAGGCCCAGGCUCCUCUGGAAAAUUUAAAACAAGAACAGUGACCUUGGGAAUGGGACGGCCCUUGAUGGUGGCCUGCAGCCUCAUGGUGGCACCAGCUUGCAGCUCCAGGACCUCCUUCAGCUCAGCACUCAGCUCUGCCUCGGGAGCAACUGCAUGAACACACAGGUUCCUGGGGACAUUGCAGCGGAUCCAGUCUGCAGUGCCGAUCCUCUUGCACUCCACCAAGUAACCAAUAAUAGGGCUUCCACCAUCAUUGGCCGGAGCAGUCCAGGUUGGGGCAGGUUUUCCGGAAACCAGUGCUUCUACUCUGAGCUUGGCUCCAGCUCUGGCACCUGCUGUCUCUGGCAUGACAAUCUUUGGCUCCACUGCAGAGAGGAUCGAUAGCCUUGAUGGGUGUCUUGGUCACCACAAAGUCACUCCUGCCAAACUGGUUCUCAGCAGCCACUCUGAACAGGUACUGGAUUCCUUCCAUAAGGUACAUGGCCAUCAGACUCAGCUUUUUAUUGGCGGGAGAGACAGGCACCCACUGAUCGGCAGCCACAUCUUUCUUCUGCACAACAUAAUGGGAGAUGACAGCACCCCCAUUGUCCUCAGGGACCUUCCAUGUCAGCAUUCUCCGCGGUGAUGGUGUAGUUGCCAGAGUCUGUGCGGACUGACUUCGGGAUGAAGACUUUGCUGCCGGUGGCGGUGACAGCAACAGUUACGUGUGAAGGAAUGUCACCAUCAUUCUUCUUCCAGCUGACGGGUCAGAUUUGCCAGCAGCAUUUACGGUGAAGAUCCGGAAGACAUAUUCCUGUCCAUCGGCCAGGCCUGUCACCACAUAGUGGAGGUCGGGACACUGCUCUGGCGUCUCAUUGGCUGGAUUCCACUCCACGGCACCGGGCUUCUGGUACUCAACGAGCUGCAGUCUCAACAAAUGGCCCAAUGCCGAUGGCGUUCUCAGCAGCCACUCUGAAGAAAUAGGCCUUUCCGGUGUUACUGAUGGGAGAACCCCCAUCGUUCUCGGGGAAGUACCAGUUGAUCUUGCAGGAGUCGCAGCUCAGGUUCUCUGCAGUAAGGGGGAUGCCAACGGGCCCAGGGACAUCUAAAGGAGGACACAGACAGCAUUCUUGGCAGUCAACGUGUAAACGCCGAGGUGCCUCCUGACACAGGGUUUGAUGACCAGAGCAGAGCUGAUAGCUGUUGUCUCUACUUUAGCCUCAGGAGGCAGUGCAGCUCCAUCUCUGCUCCAGGUGACCUCUGGGGAUGGCUGGCCAGACAC
Acanthopagrus latus (yellowfin seabream) is the source of this 2608-nucleotide long non-coding RNA. RefSeq lists it as uncharacterized. The transcript has 17 exons. The record is from RefSeq and is a predicted model, not a curated record. NCBI's taxonomy places the organism in Eukaryota, Metazoa, Chordata, Actinopteri, Spariformes, Sparidae.